This 159-nucleotide microRNA precursor is filed under the name Pelobates cultripes (western spadefoot toad). Lineage: Eukaryota; Metazoa; Chordata; Amphibia; Anura; Pelobatidae. The record is from RNAcentral.
CUGCAGAGGGGGCCCAGCACACUGCUUCUACUCUUCUCUUCUACUCUCUUCCAAUAACUCUUGCGAGACCCGUGGAUCGUUUCCAUGGUAACCGGGUCUCACAAGAGUUAUUAGAAGAGAAGAGAAGAGUAGAGGCAGUGUGCUGGGCCCCCUCUGCGG